UGUGGUUAGUCAGUGCAGUUCUGGCUCCCCUGUGAAUGUGAUUCACUGCACUGACAUAUUCCAACCAUGGCUAUAGCACAGGGCUCAGAGACCAAGAUCCCUGUGCACUGUGAAUGGACCUGUGAAAUGAGAUGGUCCUUUCUCUGGAAAGGCUGUCAGAUGAGCCGAAUGGACCUCAGAGGAGCAGAAUGGAUCUCAGAGGAGCUGAAUGGAUCUCAGAGGAGCUCAAUUAAUCUCAGUGCCUCCAGAUGGUUUUCAGAGAGAAAAGAACACUAUGUUUUGUCCUUCUCCAAUGCUGAGCUAUUUACAGGAAUCUAAAAAUCGGACAGUAAUCAUAAGUUGCUUCCCUAACGACUCCCCUUUCUAGUCUGGACCUUCACAGCCUGCAUUCUCAGAUACUCCCGGUCAGGUCUUUUCUUUUAGGAUGCUGACUGGGACUUUCAAACUGCCCAUGCAUUUCAGGAGAGACCCCAGGCUGGCAAUGGGAGGCACAGACAGGCAGUCUAGAAGAUGCUCAGGGAUACAGCUGUUGCCAUCACAGACAAUCGGGGACAUCCGCCUUCCAGGGGUUGCUUUGAGGAUGAGUCCAUUUCAGCAGUUUCCACGUUUUCACCUGUGCCCGAGGAAACACACACAGCCUGACCAGCAGCAAGGCUUAGCGGGGUCCUCUCAGGUCUCGUUCUGUCUGGUGGCUGUGGCAGCUGCAGAGAUGGACCAAGUCAGUGACUGGAAGUUUGGAUGUGGACCGAGUUCUCACUUAGUACACAUCAACAUCACCGUGGCAAUGGUGCUUUUUCUUUCUUGCCUCUUUCCUGCAUCCUGCUCUUUACUAACACCUGGCAUCUUCUAGCUUACCCUAGACUAGACGUUAGGUAUUUCUACCCAUUUCCUUUGCUGCCUGUUUUCUUUGUCCGUUCACUUCCUUCUGUUUUCUGCUUUAUCAAGGCUCUCUUUGGUGACCUUUGACUGUAUACAAUCACUGCAAUGGGAGAUACUGGCUUGUGAACAUGUAUAUAGGGAGGUAACUUUGUAGUGAGGCUAAUCACACUGAACCCAUUUCAUUUCUAAGUCUUGUCACAAUGACAUUCUAUUUUGGGGUCAUGGUUUGCAUUUUUUGUUUUUUUGUGGGCUUUUCUUUGUGGAUGUUGAGACCCCCCAUAUAGGCCCUGUGAUCUGUGUCCCCCCAAGACUGCACAGGUAUUCUGCAGGUAUGCCAAGCUGAGUUUUCCCAGUAAUGGACAAGCACUGCCUAUUUUAAGUGGCUAAAACAGGUCAUGCCUAUGGACACUUUUCCCCCAUUUCAUACACACAUAGCUUCGUCUUUGGGGAAUUUUAGAUACAUGAAGAAGACAAACCAAGGACCUCUUGGGCAUUUGUCUUGAAUAGACUGGUAGUUUAUCGUCACUUUUAGGCUGUUAUCUUCUGUGUGUGGAUGGUAGGGCCUAGUUCCCGGGAGGUCAAAAGAGGCAUGUUUUCAGACACACCUCUCUUGUUCUGUGGAGUUAGUUUUGGGAUGGGUUUUGUUAUGCAGCCCAGGCUCUCCUUGUACCCCCAGGGUCAGAUGACACACUUCUGCCUCAGUUUCCCUGUUAGCUAGGACCACAUGACAUUGGGCCCAGCAGACCCUCUAGAAAUGGCCACAGUGAUUCCUACCCUUCAGUGUCCUUUCUCAUGGUGAAAACAGCUUUGCUUUCUGCACAAGCAUGCCCCUUCUUAGUCUGUGCUGUCCCGAUCCCUGCGAGGACUGAAGGGACGUGUGAAGUGACACUCUGCCCAUGUGCUGUGGCCUUCUGAGAUGACGUGGCUUCUGUUCUUGCCUUGAGAUCCAGAGAACUCUGCUGGAGAAGGCCAAUGGGGAACAUUGUGCACCCCCCUCCCACUGAUGGGUGGAUCGAGCAUCUCCUCAGGAUUCUCUGACUGCAGGCGGCACUGUGAUGACUCCCUCUCUCCCCAGAAACAGGCCAAGUAGCCAACCUGCAGAAUCACAAGCUACAGAGGUGCUUGUCUUAAUCAGUUCAGUUUGUGCUCGUUUGGUAUGCAACAAGAGGUGUCUGCCCUGAGCUCACUCUAGAAGACUCAUUUAGAGUCAGAGUCAGGACUCAGAACCCUGGUGCCUGCAUUUCACUCUUUAGGCCCUAUAGAUUCUGAGUCUUAAAGGUUUAUUUUUAUUAUUUCCAGACGUGCGCGUGCGUGCGCGCAUGCAUGUGUGUGUGUGUGUGUGUGUGUGUGUGUGUGGUUACAUGCAUGUGAAUGCAAAUGCCUAUAGAGGUCAGAGGCUCAGAACCCCCUGGAGCUGCAGUUAUAGGCAGUUUCGAACUGUCUCACACUGAACGUAGGUUUUCUUCAAGACCAGUGCAGGCUCUUAAGCACUGAGCCAUCUCUCCAGCCUGAUUCUUAAAGAAGACUUUGUCUCCGAAAAGACUAAGAACCAUUCACUUCUAGUUAAAGUCGGCCAUAACACCAACACAGGUUAGUUUGUAUUUAUAACAAUUUCACAUGCUUGCUCUACAGUAAAAACCUGAUUACACAAUUAUACUAAGGAAAAAGAUAUCCUAAAUUUAUGGUAAAAGCUUAACACUCCUAGGGUAGGUAUUAGGAAUGUAGUUGGAAAAAAAUAAAGUAUGUCUCUCUGUGUGUGCAUGUACGUGUGUCCUCUGAAUGUGCACAUGUGUGUGCAUGCAUGGUCUCUGUGUAGCUAUGAAUGUGUGUAUGUUUAUUCAUGUAUCAGUGAUGCUCUUAACUCAGUAAGAAAAUCAGAUCCUGUGGGCUAGAAAGAUAGUUCAGUUGAUAAAACACACACACACACACACACACACACAUUCUUGCCGUGCAAGAAUGAGAACCUGAGUUUGAGUCCCAGAACCCAUGUAAAAAACUGGGAGUGGUAGCAUGUGCUUGUUAUCCUGAGGUUCCCUAGCAUUCAGUGGCUGGUCAACUCAGUUAAGUCAGCAAGGCCCAGAUUCCUGUGAGAGACGCUAUCUCAACAGAGACCAAACCAAACCAAACAAACAAAAACGCGUUUAACAAAAAACUAAGGUAGAAAACUCCUGAGGAAUGACACCUGAGAUCUUUUCAUAUGCAUGCACACUCAUGUUUACACACAUGAAGGUGCAUCACACACACGUGAACACAGGAGAAAAGAAAGCUGAUCUUGGAAAUAUGUAUCGCAAAUGUCCAACGCCACACACACACACACACACACACACACACACACACACACACACACACGGAAGGAAAGCCAUCUUGGACAUAUGUCUAGCACUACUUUGCUGUUGGUCCUUUGACUCUGAUUUGAAUUUCAUUUUGUUUUGUGGUGAGAUAUAUCAAUAUUUUUUGACAGCCUCAUCUCUUCACAUCACUUUUAGACCUUUAUUUUCAGUAUAAAACAUAUAUCAACUCUCACCAUAUUCACCCAUCUCUACACCGUCUACGUGGAGUUCUGCUGGUAGGAAGCUUGCAUUCACUUUCUCCCAACCCCCAUUUAUAAAAUACAGUAUCCUUUCACAUACCCUUUGCCCCCAUUCUUCCUGAGGGGAGGGCUUGGGAUCUCUCCUCCCUGCUCUGUGGUCCCUCGUGCUGGGCUUUGCUGUUUGGCAUCAGGACUCUCUUAUCUUCUGUUACCAAUAUUUUCCUGUUCAGCCAUCACCACCUGUUAACGUUUCCAUGUGAACUUAAGACAUUGUAUCAAGUUAACAUCCAUCUUCAACUGCUGGCUCCAUGCCCUGCUAACAUCUCUCUUUGUUUUGGGGGGCAUAACAUGGGGGUAUGCAGAAAGAGAGACAGCAGCUUCUUUAAGACCUGAGCUCUCCUGCACAAGAGCAAGGUAUUUUUGCAUUAUUCAGGAGUUAUGCUGACUGACAGAUUUUCCUCAUUUACUCUCUGUUAACUUUACCUCUAGAUAUUUUUUAAUGUUGUUGGUCAGAAAAAGACGAUAUAAUACAAACAUUCUGUCAGCUUUUGCUUGUGGAAACAGACACAGCAUCCCUGUGAAUGCACACAGUGUUUCCCACAUUGCAAGGCCACUUUGGUCUCAUUCCAACAUCUAAACUCAUCACAUAUAACUUCUAAUGAGUUCUUUGUCCUGAGGAUCUCACUGUAAUUGUCCUUGAGUAUCUCUAAGCUUGUCCCAGGCUUGUAAUGCCUUGCACUGUAAAGUCUGCCUGCUACACCAGGCUGCUGUUGGCACAGGCUGUAAUGCUUGGAAACUCAUUACUCCCAAAGAGAAUCGUCAUGUUCUUUUGAUGGACUUAAGGAGCUCAUAAUCUGAAGGCAGAUAUAAAGAAAAAAAAACACAUGUAAGUAUCAGUGCUGGGUGGGACCACAAGUGUUCUCAGGUUCAAUUCUGUUCAGUAAAUCAAAGUGUUUUGAAGGCAUUACUUGGUGAGCAUCAAGGAUUUGUCUGGGACUGCUCUGCACGUCUCAAGACAAAAGGGAGAGUGAUAGCUGAUGAGUACAUCGGGAAAGUCGCCAAGAGAGUUGUAAAUCUUUUGUGUCAGAACAAAAGCUCCUUCAGCACUAUCUUUUUAAGAGGCAUGUUAACAUCACUAACUCUACCUGUGAACUCUCUUAUAGAUGGAAGCCUACAGUCUAAGUGAUAUAGAACAGCUUAAAACACAUGAACUCGGGGAAGCCUGGUCACAGACAUGGAGGGAGAGGACAGUGUUCCUUGGCAUGCUUUUCUAUAGUUGCAGUAAUCUAGGUCAAUUUGGAUGAUGAUCAGAUAGUAAGAUGUUAGUGUAGGGAAAACAGUAUUUUGUGGAAGGUGAUAAAAUCUCAGGAGUCAUUUCAAUAACCACAGAACUUUGAAGCAGGGGAUAGUAAGGGUCAAAAGAAAAAGGAAAAUAUUUCCCAGGUUCUUUAUGAACAUGCCCUGGCGUUCCAGGAUUGCAUGAGAGUUGUUGCCGAGUAAAAUCCUAAACUUUAGCAACUGGAGGCUCUGAGAUUGUGGCAGGGACCUUUUAUAGUCAGCGGUAUCUCAGCAGCACUGACUUCUCCUAUUAACUAGUGGACAGAGGCAUCCAGAAGCAAUGCAGUGGGCAGUGAAGAAUUGUCCACUUUUGUCUGCAUUAGCUGAUUUCAGAGCAUCCGUGUGUUUCAGAAAUGGACCUGUCCAUCAGCUUCCACCAUAAAAGCUAAGUUCCAGUCAUCUUAUUUUCUCACUUCUUUCUACAAUGUAUAGUUUCACAUUAUAUUAUAACCUUAUCAAUAUGAUAAUGAAAAUUGCCUGAAUUGUAUCCUAGACAAAGAAACAUCCAUUGCAGUCUACAUAGCACAGUCUGCUAGAAAGAUUGCUCUAUUCUGGAACAUAAAACGCAUUAACUGCAUAGACAGCAGUCAUAUCACCAUCAGGUUUCCACGACCCACUACAAUCCAGGCAGUGUCAGUGUAUGCUACCUUGGAGAAAGCUGUCAGAGUACCCUGUGUGCCUAGCAUCUCAGUGAACUACAUUCAAGUCUACACCUUGCCAGAGUGCCUUGGGUGCUGGCCAUAGGUGGAUCCUCUGAGCUGUCUCUAUGAGCUUGUCUGGGUAGAAAAAUGGAAGAAAGAAGUGGCCCACAGCAUAGUAAGGUGUAUGUAGUUGAUGAGGUUGGUGUCUGGGUUACUGUAACAAGAUAGGUUCAAGAUACUUCAGCCUCUUCCCUCUUCUCAGCACAGCCACAACACAGGAAGAAAGACAUGAUCUUUCCAGGGGUGAGAUGAGUGCUGUUGAGAUAAGUCCAUGAGGUCUUAUUGCCUGUCCCUGAGCUUUUACCCAGGUUGCCCAUGGGAAUUAUUAGACUGUGAUGGUCAGAUCCCAAGGACCAGACUCAAACAGCAGCCCAUGAAUCCUAUUCUUUAUCUCCUUCCAGUCUUUGAAGACCAGAAUGUCACCAUGCAUCUACACCUGUCAUUUACCAAACAAGAAUUGCCUUUCAUCUCCUGGAUCUGAGAAGUCUAAUAAAUUGCUCCAAUAUAUCACUAGAUAAUUGAAAACCAUCUUUAAUAUGAUAGUCACCAAGAAUGAACAGCAAAGUAAGUCUGUCUUCACUCUGUCUUAUCAUUCAGCACUCAAACAUAAAGAGAGAGUCCUGGAAAAGGGAAAACCUGACCAGCAAUUCCUGGGCAUGAAUGUUGAGUGUUGGAGAAUGGUCAUGUGGACCAAGGACAUGAGGAAUGGACAAUAGGGGAAAACAACCCUUUGGUGAUAUUCUUCAUUUUAAGAUGCAUCAAUAGGGUUUCAAGGUGACAAUUUCUGAAUGUAGGGGUCAUUCACUAUUGUACUAGACAUUGCAUUGCCGGUGUGUGGUUGGGUGCAAAUCAAACUUUCAGGAAAACCAAAGAAUUCUACCUUUUCUCCCACAGAAUCCCCUCCACAAUAAAGAUGGCGGCAGGUCCCUGUCAUUGUUCUAGAUAAUGGAUUACCUACACAUCCAUUUCCAAGUGUAAUGACACUCUUGCUUAUUAAAGGCCUCUCAGCUGAAGGGGCAGAAUAUUAUGAACUGGCCGAGCCAUUCAUUUUCUUGAAUAUGUUAUUCAGUAUUUUAUGCUAAACCAGCAAUACACCAUCCAUUUUAGUACAAUGAUCCUUAUGUUCAAUAAAAUUGAAGUGUCGCAUCAUAAAUCAUUAGAGUCAUUUAUUUUACAUUAGACACAUUAGCCACUAUAUUCCAUAAUCUAUUACAAUAAGGUGGAUUUAAAUGUACCCCAAGGAACUGCAGUAAUAACUCCAGAACCAAAUAUAGCAAUUUAUGGAUAAAAUAUGCUUAACCUAAAACUGCACUAGCUUUUGUGAUGGCUGUGAACUCUGAAUGGAAUUUAGUGCUGAUGGGGACUGAACUCAGCCACACAUAAAGAGAGAGAAAGUGGGAAAUGACAGGCCUGCCUCUAAUUUUCUGUUCAUUAGUUUUAGGAAUGUACAAGAUUAAUAAUUACACAAUUCAUCAGUGAGACACAAACUUUGUAGGAGCAACUCACGCUCAGCUAAACCAUCUCCUCAAUACUCCGCAUUCAGGAUCAUCAAUGGCCUCUCAGUUCUGGUUCUUCUCCCCAGCAGUGUCCUGCAGCUCUGCCUCAUUCAGAAGAACUCACGAAUCCUGACUCUGAGCAGACUGGAAAGGGCUACCAAGACGAGGCUUUUAUAGCAGAGAUAAUUUUUUUGUUUGCCUCUUUUCAAGACAGGUAUUACUACACAACUUGGGUUUGGUUGCUUUGUAACUAUGUUUGGUUUGGAACCCAUGAUCCUUCUGCCUCAGUUUCUCCAGUCUUGAUCUUAUUUGGCAUAUACCAGAGAAUUUGUAACUCACCUUCUAAGUUUAUGGGUGCUUUCUUUUAAUAACAAAUGAAAUGACAAUUAUAAAUACUUGGAAUUUAAUGAAACAGUUUUCUCCUAUCAUCCUCUAGAUAAUGGCUUUUUCAUAGCCCUUUGACAUUGUGUAUACAUCUCUGUUUGAAAUGCUUAUCUGAAUAUUCUAAUAUUCGGUUACUUCCCUGGCUUAGCAUGCCUCCCCUUAGUCAUGGAGAGUUUUCUUACUUGUAGUUAUAGGUACAUGACACCUCCGUACUGCUGACAUUCCAGUCUUAAGUCUUUGAGAUUUAAUCAUGAGAUGAGACUUGCCUGUUACACUCCUAAUAGAAAGCCUUUGAUGUUCAGGGUUAUUAAAAAGCAUACUCAUUGCUGUGUUUAAUUUCAGACAGCUCGGCCCUCAAUUGGCGCAAUCAGUUCUUAUUUAUGAAAUUAGAGAACAAGUUGAAUUUCCCCUUUCAAAGACAUCCAUCCGUCCAUGCAUCCACACACAGCUCAUCUAACUAUUCAGUGGUCCAGUCUUUAACCAGUAAUUCAUGCCUUCCCCAUGGAGACACACAGUGGCCACUAUAGCACUCAAGGAAUAAGAUGGAAAUUUACUUUGCAACAAGGUAUUUUAAAUAAUUGUUUGAUUGCAUUUUAUGCAAAAUAUUGCACGUUACAACAUUUAUAAUUGUUAAAUACCAAACACUUAUAGUGAAUGUUAAGCUCAGCACUGACUCACACACACACUGGGUGCUGGGGGAAAGAAAAAUCUGUACGUGGCUUCAUGUAACCUGUGAGUCUUGCUUUCCCUGGCCUCAGUCCUUUAUUGAUACAAUGAGGGGUCAAAUAGACAGUCUCUAGGUUUUUGUCUCAGAUUCUAAGAGGGGGAAAUUUGUGUUCAUUGUUUCAUUAGGAGAGAGAGAGAGAGAGAGAGAGAUAGAUAGAGAGAGAGAGAGAGAGAGAGAGAGAUAGAUA
Molecule: RNA transcript, 8242 nt
Organism: Mesocricetus auratus (golden hamster)
Lineage: Eukaryota; Metazoa; Chordata; Mammalia; Rodentia; Cricetidae
Exons: 5
Source: RefSeq, a predicted model, not a curated record